This 85-nucleotide transfer RNA is filed under the name Felis catus (domestic cat). It matches the Rfam family "tRNA". From Rfam's summary of the family: Transfer RNA (tRNA) molecules are approximately 80 nucleotides in length. The record is from Rfam by way of RNAcentral. Lineage: Eukaryota; Metazoa; Chordata; Mammalia; Carnivora; Felidae.
GCCUGGGUGGCUCAGUUGAUUGAGCAUCCGACUUCGGCUCAGGUCAUGAUCUUGCAGUUUGUGGGUUCGAGCCCUGCAUCAGGCU